Molecule: long non-coding RNA, 860 nt
Filed under: Sorghum bicolor (sorghum)
Lineage: Eukaryota; Viridiplantae; Streptophyta; Magnoliopsida; Poales; Poaceae
Description: long non-coding RNA (SBIC_LNC016071)
Source: RNAcentral
GGAUCAAGUUCUCCUAACCCGAAGCUUGCUCCUAGGAUUCUUCAGUAAUUCGACUUCUAAAUUCUAGUAAGUUCUUGUUUUAUUGUUCUUUGGUUUAUGAGUUUACUUUAAUCUCUUCCGGUUGACUUUAGAGUAAUCAUUGCUAGCGUAAACGUGGUGUUUGGGCUAGGGUACUCAUAGAUAUCCCCUGACUAGCUGGACCGUGGUAGUAGCGAGGAACGUGACAUUUCCGAGUUACCUUUGCAUCCCAUAUCUUGUUAGCAGGACGGGUAGGUUUAUAGGUGCGGGUCGAACAUCCUUUGUGGUGUCUAGAUUCCGUAAGCUUCCCCAAUAGAAUAGUAGAUCGUCCUUACCAAGGUUAGAACGAGACGACAGUUGAAGUCUUCUCUAUACAUCGCUCACAUCCAGAAACAUUCUUUGUAGCCUAAAGGGUAGUAGCAAUAGAUUUGGUUAGUCAGAUGCACACGUUCUCCCAGUGGUAAAAAUAUAAAUACGAUACUCUGGAUAACCUCCCGGGUGAAGUGCUCACCUAUAUCCAUGCGCUUGCGGAUCAUUUCUUGAUGGUGUUACCAAAUAUCAACAAGCAUUUCUGGCGCCGUUGCCGGGGAGAAAGACGGUUUGCUGAGAUAACUUUAAGUCUUGCUAUUAUCUUGUAUUAUACUUUUAUACUUUUUAUACUUUUAUCUUUUUAUUUUUUCCAUGUUUGUGGAUAACUUAAAUUCCACAUCUAUUAUUGAAUUCUUUGCACCUUUGGAGACCAGCCAUAGACCAUGGGAGUCAAUAAGUCCUUUCUUUGCCCCUAAUUAUGAUCUGUGUUCGGAGUUGAUUGCAAUAGGUCAAAACCAACCCUUUUCUAUAGC